UACGGGGGGGGUAAGCGUUGUUCGGAAUUACUGGGCGUAAAGGGCUCGUAGGCGGCCAACUAAGUCAGACGUGAAAUCCCUCAGCUUAACUGGGGAACUGCGUCUGAUACUGGAUGGCUUGGAUUCGGGAGAGGAAUGCGGAAUUCCAGGUGUAGCGGUGAAAUGCGUAGAUAUCGGGAGGAACGCCGGUGGCGAAGGCGGUUCUCUGGGCCUUACCUGACGCUGAGGAGCGAAAGCGUGGGGAGCGAACAGG
RNAcentral lists this ribosomal RNA (253 nucleotides) under uncultured bacterium. RNAcentral describes it as "partial 16S ribosomal RNA". It matches the Rfam family "Bacterial small subunit ribosomal RNA", at positions 524 to 776 of the family's 1533-position model. The record is from RNAcentral.